Long non-coding RNA from Piliocolobus tephrosceles (Ugandan red Colobus), 2822 nucleotides. RefSeq lists it as uncharacterized. The transcript is spliced from 2 exons. The record is from RefSeq and is a predicted model, not a curated record. Lineage: Eukaryota; Metazoa; Chordata; Mammalia; Primates; Cercopithecidae.
GCCUAUAAUCCCAGCUACUCGGGAGGCUGAGACGGAAUCCUCGAACCGCAGUGGGGCGGAGGGUGCAGUGAGCCAAGAUUGCGCUACUUCACUCCAGCCUGGGUGAAAGAGUGAAACUCACGUCUCAAACAAAGGUGGGGGGACAAAAACGUAUGUCAGAGACCCCCCACCCCACCCCAGGAAUCCUCAAACCAUAUUUGAGAGUUGGGAUAGAGGAUUUGGGACAUAAAUCAAUGUAAUGGUUAAUUUUAGGUGUCAACUUGACUGAGUUAAGGAAUACCUAAACAACUGAUGGAGCAUUAUUUCUGGAUGUAUCUCUGAGGGUGUUUCCAGGGGAGACUAGUAUGUGAGUCAGUGGACUGAGUGGAAAAGAUCUGCCAUCAAUAUCUUUGGGCACCUUCCAAUCAGCUGUGGGCCCAACAGAGCAAAAGGCAGAGGAAAGGUGAUCUCUCUCUCUCUCUCUCUCUCUAACACUCUUCUCUUGCUCUUCAAUAUCACAACUCCAAAGUCUCCAGCCUCUGGUCUUUGAGACUUACACCAGUGGCCCUGAGGUGGCAGAGUGAGAAUCUGUCAAAAAAGAAAAGAGGGAAGGAAAGAAGGAAGGAGGGAAGGAGGGAGGGAGGAAGGAGAAAAAAGUAACUGGAAAGAUGGAGUUGUGAAUUUCUGAGACGGAGAAAUGGAGAGACAGGGAGCAAGAUGGGGGUGGUGCACAACCAAAGGUUCAGUUGUGGAUACAUUAAGAUUGAGGAGCCUAUUAGAGAUGCACAUGGAGAUGCAGAGUAGUCCAUUGAAUAACCAAGAAUCCAGGUGAGACCUCAAGGCUGGAGAUAGAAAUUCCAUACUCAACUUUCCUGUAUGUUUGAAGAGUUUCAUGAUAAACUGUAGUGGGUAGAGGGAAAAAUUGCAUUUUGUUAUUCAUAACAGAGUCCUGAAUACCAUUGGCUUUGACAAAAUGAGGACCGCUUUUCAUGUCAAUAAAUAGGGAUGGUGGCCAUCAAGGGCUGAUCUAAGAGCUUGAAAUGUCAUACAUGCCCCAGCUUAGUUCUGUCUUUAUUUUCUUCUGUCUUAGCAUGUGGCUUGCAUCUUCAGUGUUGCCUCAUGGUCACAAAAGGGCUCCCCAGCUCCAAAGUCCAUAUUCUACAUAAGAGGAGGUAGAACAUAGGGGUAGUAUAAGGGUCUCCCAGCUGUUUUAGCCUCCCCUUAAAUAAUCUCUCUGAAAAACAAAACUUCCACCCUCAAGCAAUUGGCUCAAACCUAGUCCCUUGGCCUCCCCUGUCUACAAAUGAGAUGGACACCUUGCAAUAAGAAAAUAGGAUUUUAUUACUGAGAAAAGUGGAUCUGGUAUUGAGCAAGCAGCCAGCCAACUCUACCAAGAGCCUCAGUUCAAACUGUUGUAGUAUCAUUUUCUAUCAGUCAAGAUUUCAGCUAAGUCCUAGGGGUUUUAAUUACUUUAAGUGUCUGUUUUAUGUCAUAAACAAAUGAUAGGCCUUUAUAUUUUAUUUGUGACCCAACUAAAGUUGCAAGUGCUAGUGAUGUAGGACUUUUCUUCUUUAUCACUUUGCAAGCAGGGGACCUCUGGCCAGCAACACCCCACCCAAGCCUUGCUUGGCUACACUGGCAUGCCCCAGCUCACCUGUGUUAUAGCGUGUACCCACGUUCGGCAGUUCCUGAGCUCUUGUGCCAUGUCCAAGAAGAAUGAGGAUACACUAGACAUUGAAGGGUGAGGAGGGAUGAGAAGAAUUUUAUCAAGCGACUGAAUAGCGUUUAGCAGAGAGGGGAUGCUGGCACCCCUACCCGAAGGCGGGUGAAGUGACUCUCAACCCAAACACAGCCCCCACCCUCACCUCUUUCUUUAUUAGGAUUCAAAUCUGUUUGACUGAAGAUUCAUGUCAGAAACUGCCUGAGAAACCAGAGAGAUGUGACUCCUGGCCCUGUGUGCUAGGCCUGGAAGCCUUCACCUCAGAGAGACAUUACUAGGAGGUGGAGGUGGGAGAUGGGAAAUAAUGGUUGGUUGGAGUCUGUAGGAAGAAUGUGAUGAAGAAAAUUCUCCUUGCUCCUAAGAAUGGAAGCUGGGCUGUGGAGUCAUCUGUAAGUGGUACUGGGCUCUCUCUCCACUCAGGACCCUUCUAUUCUUGUCAGAGCCCAGCCCCCAGGUUGAGAUUUUCCUGGACUGUGAAGCAGGAGGCAUCUCCUUCUACAAUAUGAAUGACAGAACCCCUUAUCUAUGCUUUCCCCAAAGGCUUUUUCUCUGGCCCCCUUCGGCCUUUAUUCUUGUUGUGGUCAUGCGAUAAAAAGCCCCUGACCACCCAGCCACCCAAUUGUUGAUGGACUUUCAGGAGGUCAGUCUUGUGAAGCCUGGGGCCUAAGGAGAUUCUGUUAUCCAGAAUUCAGAAAAUUCUGCCUCCAGAAAUACAAAUAUGCUCUUUUCUAAACAAGUGACAACACAAUGUAGACACAGGCUCCCUUAAGCAGCCACCUCAUGUCAACUGAUAGUCUUUGCUCUCUAACCUCUCUCCUCCGAAGUCCAUUUCCUCUCCUGAGGCUUCAGCUGUUACUGUCAGACCCUCAGUUACUUCUGAUGGGCAGGGAUUAGGCUUGAGAAAAUGGAGAUACAUCUAGGUUGGCAUAUUACGGGGGACUUCUUAAUGUGCUUUUAUUGCUUUAUCUCUGAAAACAGGUUUUGGCAGUUUGGAAAUAAGUCUGAGGACAUAUAAAGGAUUGAGACUGAGUGACUCAGGAGUGCGAGAGGAAAUAUCUUAGUGUUGAGAACAGGGUUGAUGUGGAGGAGUAUUCUCUGUGUUAUGCACGCAAACAGAAAAAAA